AGGAAGGAAAAACACUAAUGAAAACAAUAGCCAUUAUUUGGAAAAGGACAAGGAGAUGUAUGUUGCUAUAGGAAGGGUGUGCAGGGAGCAACAGACAUAGGGUAGGAUGCAAAUAUUAUAUAAAAAGAAAUUGCUUUUUUUAAACAAACAAGUAGAUUUGAUGUUUUUGGCGUCAUCUUGCUUUCCUUUGUCACAUUUAGUUGUUACCUCUUAGAAGCCUGUUAUUAUUUUUUUCUAAUGACAGUCAGGAAGGGAGAGGAUCCAGAGGGCAGUAGUAAGGAACCAGGAGGAGCAGAGGGAGAAGAAAACAUAAUUAGGAUAUAUUUUAUGAGAAAGGAAUCUAUUUGCAAUGAAAGGGAAAACUAAAAAUUGAAAAGACUCUCCUGUGAAUUCAAGAUAGACUUUAAUAGAAUGAAAAUAAAAGUAUUAUAUAUAAAGAAAAUGAUGAAAAUUCUUGGCAUGUAGAUAUCAUUAGUGUCAGCCUUACAGACAGCGUUGUAGAGGACUUCCAGGCAUCACUUGGUAGGGAUCUGUGCUGUCUCAUUUUUAGAAAUUGAUUUUUCAAACGCAGAUUUAUUGUUUUAGGUGCAUGAGUGGUCACGUGUGGACAUAUGUGCAGCACUUGUAUCUGUGUUUUGUGUGUAAACUCAAACCGGCUGUUGGGUUUCUUGGAACUGAAAUUACCAAAAGUUGUGUCUCUAGCUGAUGUUUGUGUGUUAGAAACAGAAUGAGAACCUGUGUCCUCUACAGGAGCAGCAGGGGAUGUAUUGAUCUCUGAGUGGUCUCUUUAGCUUCUGCCAUCAGACUUUGUAGUGUGAGCUAGACUCUGAGCUCUAAGAGACCUUCUUUCACUGGUGGUCAGUCUCCAUACUGCCCGUGGGUAUGAGCACUGAGUGGGUCUACAUAGGCAGCAGGAGGAAGACGGCAUCAUUAUGAACAUGCUGUCUAUGUGAGCUUGUUUACAGGUUCCACCGUUUCCAUGUUCUAUAGUUUCAUGUUAUAUAUGCUCAUAUGUUACAGAGCCUGUGCUAAGGAAGGCUUUGUUAGAGAGGAGCUAGUUUUGGAGCCACCAUGUGGCUCAGGUGGAACUCAUUGUUCGAUUGCAGGCCUAACAUUCAUAAAAUAUGGGUUUCAUCAUCUACUAUGCAUAAAAUGUGCUGUGGUAUUAGAACUUUAUAAACCAGUCCUUCAGAGAUACAGACAGGAAAAAUUAUAAGUUCAAGGCCAUCUAUGUCCACGUAGUGACAUUCAGACCACCCUGGUAUAGAGAUGUCUUCUCUGAAAAAUAGGAAGGAAAAGGAGGGGGCGUGGAGCUGUGUCAGUAGCUCCUGUUGGGUCUGUGUAUGAAGGACUUUGUGGAAAGAGAACUUUUAUGAGGAAUGGGUAAACAGCAUCUUGCAUGCACACAAACUGGUGGAGACUCUGCCAUUCUCUUAAAUAGACUUAGUUCAGGCUAUCCACAGUUCCAGGGGACAUUUGUCACCUAUAAUGACACCAAGCUUCUUUUCCAGUCUCUUCCAGUUGAGGGUUUAUCUAGGUGUGGCCAGAUAAAAAGAACCUCCCUUUUUCACAACUUCAUGUGAGAACCGGGGGACUUGAAGUCUGAGUCAUCACUGGGACACCUGCAAGCACUUGUCCCUUCCCAAUUUUGUUACCCAGUGAUCAGACUCGGGCACUGAGAGGCAGGUGACAAUGUGAGGAUGGUUGUGGAAGGCCCUAUUUUCUAAUCCAGGAAUCCCCCAGCUUCUUUUGGGUUGAAAGGUAGAGUAUGUGUACCUUCAGUUGUUUCUGUCAGGGAGGAUGGCCAGAGCUGCAUGAAUGCAGCUAUAAUCGUAACCUUUGGUGAAAAGUCAGAAGUUUUCAGAGCUCCUUACCUCCAGUCAUUCCAGGAAUGCAAUACCAUGCAUUGUCCAUGAGAUAGAAUAUAUAAGGCUUGGGCAAAGGAUGAAGAGUAAACAAGAGUUCUGGAGAAAAUGCAACCCUGGCUCUGGGUUACUCUUGGGUCGCUGAGGUCUUCUGGCAUAUCACAGACAUCACAGGGCACUGACCUCUGCUUUUUCAUACAGUAUACGCUAAAGAGAUCUGUUCUAGUCCAGUGAGUCUCAUGCGUAGUCCCUCUCAACCAACUAAGGAGAAAGUCAUAGCGUCCUAGUGAAGAGUUGGUGGGUGAAGGCAUUGCCCAGCGGGCAGCACACUCACACAGCCUUCUCUUCUGUGUUUUCGUGUCCACCUACACUGAGGCUUUAUCUGUGAUUCCUGGGAUGUCCUAACUGAUUGUACACUACACGCAGGGAUCCUCCUGAAGCACCAGUCUCACUCUGAUGUCUGUACCUGGAAACAAGCAGUCAGAUCAAAUGUGCAAACACUCAGUAGUAGUUAGUUUUCCGCCAGUAAGCUUUCAUGACUCCCUUUUAUAAUUGCAUUCUCAGUUUUUUCGAUGUUCAAGGGGAUUUGUAGAAAAUCAACUGUAACCCCUCAAGAUACUAAAAUACGUUCAGUCUCCUUGGCCCCUUCUACAAAGACAACAGAAGUGAAAACACAAGACAAAGCAGAGAAUACUGACAACACAAUUGUACCGGAUGACCAAAAACAGACAUCAGGGACUGUGGUAUCGGUGGAGACAAGAAGAACCAGACGUCGUAUGUAUUGUCAAAUCUUUUAAGA
Long non-coding RNA from Rattus rattus (black rat), 2664 nucleotides. RefSeq lists it as uncharacterized. Lineage: Eukaryota; Metazoa; Chordata; Mammalia; Rodentia; Muridae. The transcript is spliced from 3 exons. The record is from RefSeq and is a predicted model, not a curated record.